GUUGAUCGCGUCGGAAGUGUAAUCUUGGGGCUUAACCCUGAGCGUGCUUUCGAUACGGGUUGACUUGAGGAAGGUAGGGGAGAAUGGAAUUCCUGGUGGAGCGGUGGAAUGCGCAGAUAUCAGGAGGAACACCAGUGGCGAAGGCGGUUCUCUGGGCCUUUCCUGACGCUGAGGAGCGAAAGCGUGGGGAGCGAACAGGCUUAGAUACCCUGGUAGUCCACGCUGUAAACGGUGGGUACUAGGUGUGGGGUCCUUCCAGGGUUCCGUGCCGUAGCUAACGCUUUAAGUACCCCGCCUGGGGAGUACGGCCGCAAGGCUAAAACUCAAAGGAAUUGACGGGGCCCCGCACAAGCGGCGGAGCAUGCGGAUUAAUUCGAUGCAACGCGUAGAACCUUACCUGGGUUUGACAUGAUCGGGAGUGCUCAGAGAUGGGUGUGCCUCUUUUGGGGUCGGUUCACAGGUGGUGCAUGCCUGUCGUCAGCUCGUGUCGUGAGAUGUUGGGUUAAGUCCCGCAACGAGCGCAACCCUUGUUCACUGUUGCCAGCACGUUAUGGUGGGGACUCAGUGGAGACCGCCGGGGUCAACUCGGAGGAAGGUGGGGAUGACGUCAAGUCAUCAUGCCCCUUAUGUCCAGGGCUUCACGCAUGCUACAAUGGCUGGUACAGAGAGUGGCGAGCCUGUGAGGGUGAGCGAAUCUCGGAAAGCCGGUCUCAGUUCGGAUUGGGGUCUGCAACUCGACCUCAUGAAGUCGGAGUCGCUAGUAAUCGCAGAUCAGCACGCUGCGGGAAUACGUUCCCGGGGCUUACACACCGCCCU
This 816-nucleotide ribosomal RNA is filed under the name uncultured Propionibacterium sp. RNAcentral's name for it is "bacterial SSU rRNA". It matches the Rfam family "Bacterial small subunit ribosomal RNA", at positions 578 to 1396 of the family's 1533-position model. Lineage: Bacteria; Bacillati; Actinomycetota; Actinomycetes; Propionibacteriales; Propionibacteriaceae. The record is from RNAcentral.